RNAcentral lists this ribosomal RNA (484 nucleotides) under uncultured bacterium. Its description in RNAcentral is "partial 16S ribosomal RNA". It matches the Rfam family "Bacterial small subunit ribosomal RNA", at positions 28 to 523 of the family's 1533-position model. The record is from RNAcentral.
GACGAACGCUGGCGGCGUGCUUAACACAUGCAAGUCGAACGAUGAAGCCGGAGCUUGCUCUGGUGAAUUAGUGGCGAACGGGUGAGUAACACGUGAGUAACCUGCCCUUGACUCUGGGAUAACUGCGGGAAACUGUAGCUAAUACCGGAUACGACCCUCGGAGGCAUCUCCUGGGGGUGGAAAGAAUUUCGGUCAAGGAUGGACUCGCGGCCUAUCAGCUAGUUGGUGAGGUAAAGGCUCACCAAGGCGACGACGGGUAGCCGGCCUGAGAGGGUAACCGGCCACACUGGGACUGAGACAGGGCACAGACUCCUACGGGAGGCAGCAGUGGGGAAUAUUGCACAAUGGGCGCAAGCCUGAUGCAGCAACGCCGCGUGAGGGAUGACGGCCUUCGGGUUGUAAACCUCUUUUAGCAGGGAAGAAGCGAAAGUGACGGUACCUGCAGAAAAAGCACCGGCUAACUACGUGCCAGCCGCCGCAGUAA